UACGUAGGUGGCAAGCGAUACUCGGAAUCACUAGGCGUAAAGCGCAGGUAGGCGGUUCGGUAAGUCUUUUGUGAAAGCUCCCGGCUUAACUGGGAGAGGUCAAGGGAAACUGCCGGGCUAGAGUUUGGUAGGGGAUACUGGAAUUCCUGGUGUAGCGGUGAAAUGCGUAGAUAUCAGGAGGAAUACCUAUGGCGAAAGCAGGUAUCUGGGCCACAACUGACGCUGAGCUGCGAAAGCUAGGGGAGCAAACAGG
RNAcentral lists this ribosomal RNA (253 nucleotides) under uncultured bacterium. Its description in RNAcentral is "partial 16S ribosomal RNA". It matches the Rfam family "Bacterial small subunit ribosomal RNA", at positions 524 to 776 of the family's 1533-position model. The record is from RNAcentral.